RNAcentral lists this long non-coding RNA (1259 nucleotides) under Homo sapiens (human). RNAcentral describes it as "PREDICTED lncRNA (TCONS_00117962)". Lineage: Eukaryota; Metazoa; Chordata; Mammalia; Primates; Hominidae. The record is from RNAcentral.
CCGGGGCUGAGGGGCGAGGACCGAGGAGCGCGCGGAGGAGCGGGGUGAAGUCCCACGCGGGUAUGGGAGAGAAUGAAGUUCUUUGUCUCUAAGGGAUUCAAACCAGAAACGGAGGGACCUCUGGUUCCCAGAGGGAGGAAAAUCCAUGAUGUCUGCUGCCCAGGGAGCUAUUGCCACCGCCUCCUUGGGAUGAAGUAUUGCCAGCUACCAACAGUUCCUUCCCAACGGCCAUCUUCCAGCCUUCUUAAACGACUCCUAGCAUCUUCGGGAGGCUCCUGAAGGACUGAAGCAAAGGAAAUCUCUGAAGGGAUUUAGUCCUUGAAAGGGAGUAGGGAUACUUAGGGUGUUCUGUGUUGAGCGCUUCUUCCUAUCUCUCCAGCUUCAUGUAUGUGUGUCUUUAUGUCCAAGCAAUUGAGCCAACAAGUCCUCAGAAUUCCUUGUGAAAAAAACGUUUUUUUUUUUUGAGACGGAUUCUCACUCUGUCGCCCAGGCUGGAGUGCAAUGGUGAAAUUCAGCUCACUGCAACCUCCGCCUCCGGGGUUCAAGCGAUUCUCCUGCCUCAGCCUCCCGAGUAGCUGGGAUUACAGUCACGCGCCACCACGCCCAGCUAAUUUUGUAUUUUUAGUAGAGACAGGAUUUCUCCUUGGUCAGGCUGGUCUGGAACUCCCGACUUCAGGUGAUCCGCCCGCCUCGGCCUCCCAAAGUGGUGGGAUUACAGGUGUGAGCCACCGUGCCCAGCCCUGAAAUAGUCUUAAUUGCUUGUUUUUCUUUUUUGUCUGAGGUGUGCUUUUUAAAAUCUCUAUGGAGAUGGAGAAGACUGACAUUCUCUGGCCUGAUGUGAAAACCUCUCAUUAAAACUGUGUCUGUGCUUUGUGGGCUGAAAGCAUGAAACACUGGAAAUUUUAAACAAACGUAUGUGAAUGUGUUAAGAAGCCAAGAGUCCGGCCCUCUUUCACCAGACUGUAUGGCCUCAGAUCAGCAAGGGAAGUAUUGAGCUUAGGGACACCAAGUAAUGGAGUGAGCAGGGAUGAGAGGGCACAUAGAAUGUGGUGAUCUCUUUCCAUGUCAAGGCUUGUGUGUUUGUGGCACUGGGGUCUUGCUGUGUCCCCAAGGCUAGAGUACAGUGGCACAAUUAUGGUUCACUGCAGCCUCAACCUCCAGGGCUCAAGUGAUCCUCCCACCUCAGUCUCCUAAGUAGCUGGGACAACAGGCUUGGGCUGCCACACCUGGCUAACUUUUUAUUUUUUUGUAGAGACGGG